AAGAUUCAUCGUCUUGAACUUGAUACACAUAGUAUAGCACCUUAAAAACGAAUCAUCUGCUAGUUCAGUAUUUUCUACUUACAAUCACUCCCUCCCAGGGCAUGUAAUUAAUUUACUGAGCUUAAAAAAAAAAUAUCAGGAUUACUCACACAGUCUUGAAGAUGCAAUGUCAGCUAUUUAGGACAGAAACAUCCAAGGCCGUGUCAGAACUCAAUUACGACUACAUAUGCAUUAAGGCAGGAACUGGCAGGCCUCAGGGUACGCCAACUAUAGGACUCGUGCUUCUCGUACGCUGGGCUAUAAUCUAUGAAACUGAGCUCCAGAGCCAGCCAAUCACUUAGCUCCUCAUAACAAGUCUAACUGGCUCUGGAAAGCUGAAAGGGCUGCACUGGAACAACACAGAUGAGAUAUUCUACACAUUAAUCUACUUAUCUGGAAUCACUUUGCCUCUAAAGGCCAGAGAAAAAUCACAGCUUCCUUGUCGGAGGGGAAAAGGACAGGUGAUCUGGGGAAAACGCAGCUACACCUGGAGCAAGGUCUCUUCCCGGCUUGGCAAUCUCAGCUGUGCCGGCGCUACGGGACCCGAGCCGUCCCAGAAACCAAAGGGCAGGCACGGCAGCAAACGCCUGAGGACUGAGAAGACGUCAAGGUCCAGACACUCGUCAUUAACACCUACUCACAACCGAUUCCCCCACCCACUUUGGCCUCACCAAGAUUUGGCAAGCAGGAGAAUUAAAUGUCACUUUGCUACCAUCCUCUGCUGAACCUCCAACAGAAAAACCCAUAUUGCCCAAGUACAAAGCAUGAAAUACUGCUGGCCUACCCUGACUUUUCAGCUAUUCUCCUUGCAUAUAGUAAAUGACUCCCCAGGAGACAUCAUCUUAAAGUCUGAGACACAAAAAAGGACCCAAAGUCCUAUAUGCUUGAAGAAUUGCAUGGCAAUAUAUUUAGUUAACAUUUUCUAUUUUAUUAGAAAAAACAGACAAUUCAAUUGUCGAUGUGAUCGUUUCAGGCUUCCCAGCCUCUCCUUUCUGACAUCAUCCUAUAUACUACAACCUCCACCAGAAAAGCAGUAUGGUACUGGGAAAAAGAGAUCUAAAGGCAGAACACUAGGGCUUCACUCUCAGCACUGUUAACUGAGUGACUUGACUAAGUCACUGAAAUUCACUGAAACUGCAGUUUCCCCUUCUGUCAAAGGGGGAUAACAAUAUCAGCUUCACAGGGUGCUGUGAAGGAAGCAAAUGAGAAAAUGAAAGUGAGCAUCCUUUUAAAUUAUAAACAGAGAAUAAGGGAGAGGGGAGGGGGAAGGGGAGAGGAGGAAGAAAGGAAACAAUCUGCCCUCCCUCACCCCUUCACACUAGGUAAAAUAAAAUGUUUAGACAGAAAAACCUAAAGAAAAGGAUCCAAAUAAAAUAUUCUUAGGAACUGUCAAAGGGAGAAGACAUUGGAAUCUCCAAAUCUGGCCAAGAGCUCAGCCUAAGCAGCAUGUUUUGAACUCCUGAGUCCUUGGAACCCUGCACUAAAGCUUUGGGACUCUGACCUGCAGGAAAAAAAAAAAAAAAAUGCUUCCCUCAGUUCAUUCCCUGUAGUUUAAAAACAAGAGCAACUAAAGGGCAAGCUUCGGGGGCAAGGGGAGACAAACACCUCAGACCAUUAACUUACUUUAUCCCCAUUGGAAAUCAACUUCUGGAGAACAUUUCAGCUUUGUAUGCUCUUCUUGGUCCCACUCAAAUGGGAAGUUCUGCUCGAGGCCAGAAAUAGAAAACAGGAAGUCAACAGAACUGAUUUUCCUAACUGCCCAAAUGCAAAUCACCACACUCCGUUAUGGAUGAGAAUUAGAGUAAAAUGUAAACUUCUUUUUAAAAAGAAGUUCACAUGCUAACUGUGUACAGAAAACAUCCUACUCCAGGGAAGAAAGAAAGAAAGAAAGAAAGGAAAGAUCCAUCAGCUUCCUUCCUUAAUAAAGGAGGAUUGACAGAGCUGGACUGACAGUGAAGUAAAGGUUACCGACGGUGUGCUCAUCAGAACCAUGCUGCCACUAAAAAUAAUGAAGUGUCCCACUUUGAUGCGACACUAUUCUCCAAGUUGGUUCCUCUAAAGGUGCUUUUCUUCAAGGGAAGCAGAUACUAAAGUGACAACUUUCUCAUUACCAUUCAGACUAUUUUCUUAGAGUCCCAGGUUUGAAACUUUCAAGUUGAAACUCUAAGCUGCACCCACUGCAUACAGACUUCUUAGUCAGUUUCUGUCACGUACCAUCAUAUCUACCUUAUUUGCAUCAGUCAUAAAUUCUGCUCAUUCUUCUAUCACAGCUCCUCUGACAUUUGCCAGACCUCACCAUUUCCUCAGCCAUUUCUGGUCUGAAUCAUCAGCCCCCCAUGCCUGCUGCCUGCUCUCUUCUAUAAACAUACCAGAUGAAUCUUUCCAGCAUGCUGCUUCCCCUGCCCCCAAGUCAGCCACAGUUCCCUACUACCUAUUGAUCACAUCUGAGUUGCCUCAGCCAGUGGUCUUGCCAUAUCUACCUAGCUUAGGCUGAGUGUUAUAGGAGAAAGUGCACUAGCCCGGGCACCAGAUGGAUCAGGUAAGACUCUAGCUUAGGUAAGCUUUAUCACAUCAUAUAGUGGCUGUGUGGAUUGAGGAAAAUUAUGAAACUUCUUUGCACUUCAGUUUUCUCAUUUGCAGAAUGAAGAUAAUAACACCUACCUAUACAGUUACUAAGGAUUAAAUAGGAUAAUAUGCACAAAGUGACCCUAGUGAGUUUCAGUAAGAAGAAUUAAUGCUUAUGAAGUGCUUAUCACAUUCCAGCUUCUGUUCUGUGUGCUGUGCAUGUGUUUAUGCAGGUAUUAUUAUUAACCUCAUUUUGCAGAAGAGGAACUUGAGGCAAGAGAGAGCGUGUAAAGUCACAUAACAAAUCCACAGAAGAGCUAGCCUUUGAACUCCAACAGCCUGACUCCAGUGCCUGCAUAUGUAACUCCAUGCUCUACUGCCUCCCAUUUCCCUUUCCCUCCAACUUUCACCGGCUAACACAGCCCACAGGUCCACCUCAGUCCUUCUCAUCCUUCCAGUCUUCCCUCCACAUUCCAACUACCUGUGACAAAUGCUAUCCUGCAUUUUCUCUCCAAUCUUACCUGACAUCUUGAAGGGAGCAGUUCAGUUACAGCAUUCUCUCCAUACCCAACUAUACCAUCUCUCUACUCUUUAUCUUGCCCUCACAUACACAUAAGUUUGUCAUUGUUCUUCAGUUCUUUGGGUAAUCUCUUCCUAGAAACUGCAUCUAACAAAUAGACCACAUCCCCAAAUUCCAUCAUGUCCAAAAAGAAGCACGGUAUUUCCAUCAACACCCCAGCUGCCAUCACCAAGCCAACUCGCCUGACUUCCAUUCACUUACUAGCAAACAUUUACCAAGUAUCUGCCAUGUUCAUUUUGUCAAUGAGAAUGACAUGGGACUUGUUCCUCUAGGAGAUCACAGUCUAAUGAGAUCAAUGUUUAUAUAGAAAAUGUAAAUAGGUUGUGAUAAGUACUAAAUGCACGCUGCUAAUGGCAUCAUCACCUCUGGCUCUUCUCAAUCCUGCGUUUCCCAUGUUGUGUCAUGCAACAGAGCUGUCACACUGCCUCUUCCUCUUCAUCUCUGGUGCCACCUGUGAUUUACUUGCACACUACCUUGUUUCUGAACUAUUGCAGCCCCUCCCAACUUAUCUCACUGCCUCAUUCACCUGCCUUUCAAAACUGGCCCACCUCCUGCUGCCCAAUAACCUGAUGUUGUCACUCUCAUAUUUAAAACCCAUAAGUGCUGCCGGGAGCGGUGGCUCACGCCUGUAAUCCCAGCACUUUGGGAGGCCGAGGCGGGCGGAUCACAAGGUCAAGAGAUCGAGACCAUCCUGGCCAACGUGGUGAAGCCCAGCCUCUACUAAAAAUACAAAAAUUAGCUGGGCGGGGUGGCACACACCUGUAGUCCCAGCUACUUGGCAGGCUGAGGCAGGAGAAUUGCUUGAACCCGGAGGCAGAGGUUGCAGUGAGCCGAGAUUGCACUACUGCACUCCAGACUGGUGACGGAGCGAGACGCUGUCAAAAAAACAAAACAAAACAAAAAACAUAUCAAUGCUGAUGAACCAAGUGCAAAGCCCUGAGCUUGGCCAGGCAACAUAGCCUGGAAACCUGACUUUUAAUCCUUACUUUGCUCUAUUCCCCCAACAUACACACACUUCAUACACCACACCUAAAAGAGACUUCCCACAGUUUUCCAAAAAUGACUCACAUUUAUAUUUCCUGUUUUUCCCUUUGCCCACCCUGCCCUCUCUCCCUCUGCCUUCAUUUUUUUAAUUAACCUCUGGAACUCAGGUGCUCCUGCUCCAAGGUUUAGGUCAAAAGUUACCUCCUCCAUGAAGCUUUCUCUCAUUCUCCCACAAUGUGUGAAAGCCCCAUUCUCAGAUUUGCUUAGUUGUGCAUUUGUAUAUUCUACCUUGCACUACAGUCAUUUGUAUAUUUAUCUUAUGGUUUCUGUGCCUUAGGAAAGGUACACUGUCUUAAUCAUCUUUGUUCAAUACAGUGCCUAGCAGAGUGCCUCAAGUAUAAUAUGUGCUCAAUAAAUAAUAGAUGCAUUUUUCCAUGCAUAUUUUCUACUAUAUCGAAGUGGAAAAUAUAUCCAUGUGAUAUAGUGAAAAAUAUCUCAUGAAGAGAGAUACAGUGAGGAAAAUAUCUCAUGAAGACCAAAAAGCAGAAAUCCAAGUUUUUUCUUUUCAUUACUAUCAUCAGUGAUUAUUAAUUUUAUGUGUCAACUUGGUUGGGCUUAGGGAUGCUCAGAUAGCUGGUAAAAUAUUAUUUCUGGAUGUGUCUCUCAGGGUGUUUCUGGGGGAAAUUAGCAUUUGAAUCAGUAGACUAAAUAAAGAAAAUCUGCCCUCACAAAUGUGAGCCAGCAUCAUCCAAUUUAUUGACAGUUUAGAUACAACAAUAAGGCAGAAGAAGGUGAACUCUCUUUCCUUGAGCUGGGACAUCCAUCUUCUCCUGCUCUGACAUUGGAGUUUCUAGUUCUUGGGACUUCAGAUUCUCCCCUGAAGUUUCUCAGGCCUUUUGGCAUCAGACUGGAAGUUAUGCCAUUGGCUCCCCUGGUUCUCAGACCUUUGGACUCAGACUGAAUUAUACCACUGGCUUUCCUGGUUCUCCAGCUUCAAGAUGACAUAUUGUGAGACUUUUCAACCUCCAUAAUUGCAUGAGCCAAUUUCCACAAUAUAUCUCCUCUUAUGUAUCUAUAUAUUUCCUAUUGGUUUUGUUUCUCUACAGAAUCCUAAUAGAUCAUCUAAUUGUUUAUCUAACAAGUAUUUUCCUCCCUAGACAAUAUGUUGGGCACUAGGGACACAAAAAUAAAAACACAGACAUCUGCACUCAAUAAACUUACAUUCAAUAUCAGAGAGAUUGGCACAGAAUACAAAUAAAAUGAGAUACAUGCAAAAUAAUAUGAAUUGCAAAAUUACGGCAAUUCACCACCAACUAGGUGUGUGACCGUGGGAAAAUCACACUGUGAGCUAAAUAUUAGCAAGUUUAAAAUGCAAAAUCAGAGGCAGUCUAUGAAUUGGACUUUGCUAAUGGCCUCCUUUGCUGAUGGAUGGCACAUUGGUGUUAGAAAGUGCUUAUUUUUGCAAAGGUCCAUUAUUGAUGCUUUAAUUCUAAGGAAAUUAUGUAGGCAGAAACUAAAGAAAGGUUAAAAAAACAGCAGCUAAAAUUGAUACUUAGACAAUAAAAAACUAAUUAUAAGUGAUUUAUCAGCACCACUAGAUAACUACAUUGGUGAAAUUUAAGGCCAUGAAAUGCAGGACAAGCCUCGUAGGAAGCAAGGUCCCAGUGGAUGAGAUGCUGUCCUCUGGGCUCCUAACCUUCCACCACUAGUAUUCACCAUAUCUGAUUGGAAAUGUGUGCAUGUGAGUCGGCCUCCCCUCUAUGAUGUGAGUAGGGACCUAUUUUUGCUCAUCUCUGUAUCCUCUACACACGAUGCUUGGCACACAGCAAGUAUUCAAUAAAUGUUUAUGAAUGAAGCAAUC
Molecule: long non-coding RNA, 6029 nt
Organism: Homo sapiens (human)
Lineage: Eukaryota; Metazoa; Chordata; Mammalia; Primates; Hominidae
Gene: PART1
Product: prostate androgen-regulated transcript 1
Source: Ensembl